RNAcentral lists this ribosomal RNA (477 nucleotides) under uncultured bacterium. RNAcentral's name for it is "partial 16S ribosomal RNA". It matches the Rfam family "Bacterial small subunit ribosomal RNA", at positions 30 to 507 of the family's 1533-position model. The record is from RNAcentral.
AUUGAACGCUGGCGGCAUGCCUUACACAUGCAAGUCGAACGGUAACAGGUUAAGCUGACGAGUGGCGAACGGGUGAGUAAUACAUCGGAACGUGCCCAGUAGUGGGGGAUAGCCCGGCGAAAGCCGGAUUAAUACCGCAUACGACCUAAGGGUGAAAGGGGGGGAUCGCAAGACCUCUCGCUAUUGGAGCGGCCGAUGUCAGAUUAGCUAGUUGGUGGGGUAAAAGCUCACCAAGGCGACGAUCUGUAGCUGGUCUGAGAGGACGACCAGCCACACUGGGACUGAGACACGGCCCAGACUCCUACGGGAGGCAGCAGUGGGGAAUUUUGGACAAUGGGCGCAAGCCUGAUCCAGCCAUGCCGCGUGCGGGAAGAAGGCCGUCGGGUUGUAAACCGCUUUUGUCAGGGAAGAAAUCCUUUGGGUUAAUACCUCGGGGGGAUGACGGUACCUGAAGAAUAAGCACCGGCUAACUACGUG